GGAGAAGUGGCCGAGAGGAUUAAGGCUACAGUCUUGAAAACUGUCGUACGGAAACGUACCGUGAGUUCGAAUCUCACCUUCUCCUCCA
RNAcentral lists this transfer RNA (88 nucleotides) under Bacteriophage sp. RNAcentral describes it as "tRNA-Ser". It matches the Rfam family "tRNA". From Rfam's summary of the family: Transfer RNA (tRNA) molecules are approximately 80 nucleotides in length. Their secondary structure includes four short double-helical elements and three loops (D, anti-codon, and T loops). Further hydrogen bonds mediate the characteristic L-shaped molecular structure. tRNAs have two regions of fundamental functional importance: the anti-codon, which is responsible for specific mRNA codon recognition, and the 3' end, to which the tRNAs corresponding amino acid is attached (by aminoacyl-tRNA synthetases). tRNAs cope with the degeneracy of the genetic code in two manners: having more than one tRNA (with a specific anti-codon) for a particular amino acid; and 'wobble' base-pairing, i.e. permitting non-standard base-pairing at the 3rd anti-codon position. The record is from RNAcentral. RNAcentral also lists the same sequence under 2 other names.